AAUGGGCGCAAGCCUGAUGCAGCCAUGCCGCGUGUGUGAAGAAGGCCCUAGGGUUGUAAAGCACUUUCAACAGUGAGGAAAGGUUAUCGGUUAAUACCUGGUAACUGUGACGUUAACUAUAGAAGAAGGACCGGCUAACUCCGUGCCAGCAGCCGCGGUAAUACGGAGGGUCCGAGCGUUAAUCGGAAUGACUGGGCGUAAAGCGCGCGUAGGUGGUUUUUUAAGUUGGAUGUGAAAGCCCAGGGCUUAACCUUGGAAUUGCAUCCAAAACUGGAAGACUAGAGUACAGUAGAGGGAGGUAGAAUUUCCGGUGUAGCGGUGAAAUGCGUAGAGAUCGGAAGGAAUACCAGUGGCGAAGGCGGCCUCCUGGACUGAUACUGACACUGAGGUGCGAAAGCGUGGGUAGCGAACAGGAUU
Molecule: ribosomal RNA, 417 nt
Filed under: uncultured Gammaproteobacteria bacterium
Lineage: Bacteria; Pseudomonadati; Pseudomonadota; Gammaproteobacteria
Description: bacterial SSU rRNA
Rfam family: Bacterial small subunit ribosomal RNA
Source: RNAcentral